CACUCCUGCGGGAGGCAGCAGUGGGGAAUUUUGGACAAUGGGGGCAACCCUGAUCCAGCAAUGCCGCGUGAGUGAAGAAGGCCUUCGGGUUGUAAAGCUCUUUUGUCAGGGAAGAAACGGUGGUGGCGAAUAACUACUACUAAUGACGGUACCUGAAGAAUAAGCACCGGCUAACUACGUGCCAGCAGCCGCGGUAAUACGUAGGGUGCAAGCGUUAAUCGGAAUUACUGGGCGUAAAGCGUGCGCAGGCGGUUGUGUAAGUCAGAUGUGAAAUCCCCGGGCUCAACCUGGGAAUUGCAUUUGAGACUGCACGGCUAGAGUGUGUCAGAGGGUGGUAGAAUUCCACGUGUAGCAGUGAAAUGCGUAGAUAUGUGGAGGAAUACCGAUGGCGAAGGCAGCCCCCUGGGAUAACACUGACGCUCAUGCACGAAAGCGUGGGGAGCAAACAGGAUUAGAAACCCUAGUAGUCCCAU
RNAcentral lists this ribosomal RNA (473 nucleotides) under uncultured organism. RNAcentral's name for it is "partial 16S ribosomal RNA". It matches the Rfam family "Bacterial small subunit ribosomal RNA", at positions 334 to 798 of the family's 1533-position model. The record is from RNAcentral.